AAUGGGCGAAAGCCUGAUCCAGUCAUGCCGCGUGGAUGAAGAAGGCCUUAGGGUUGUAAAGUCCUUUCGCUAGGGAAGAUAAUGACGGUACCUAGUAAAGAAGCCCCGGCUAAUUUCGUGCCAGCAGCCGCGGUAAUACGAAAGGGGCUAGCGUUGUUCGGAAUUACUGGGCGUAAAGCGCGCGUAGGCGGCCCAGCAAGUUGGGGGUGAAAUCCCGGAGCUCAACUCCGGAACUGCCUCCAAAACUGCUGAGCUAGAGGAUGCGAGAGGAUAGUGGAAUUCCGAGUGUAGAGGUGAAAUUCGUAGAUAUUCGGAAGAACACCAGUGGCGAAGGCGACUGUCUGGCGCAUAUCUGACGCUGAGGUGCGAAAGCGUGGGGAGCAAACAGGAUU
RNAcentral lists this ribosomal RNA (392 nucleotides) under uncultured Gammaproteobacteria bacterium. RNAcentral's name for it is "bacterial SSU rRNA". It matches the Rfam family "Bacterial small subunit ribosomal RNA", at positions 370 to 779 of the family's 1533-position model. Lineage: Bacteria; Pseudomonadati; Pseudomonadota; Gammaproteobacteria. The record is from RNAcentral.